Papaver somniferum (opium poppy) is the source of this 1305-nucleotide long non-coding RNA. RefSeq lists it as uncharacterized. The transcript has 2 exons. NCBI's taxonomy places the organism in Eukaryota, Viridiplantae, Streptophyta, Magnoliopsida, Ranunculales, Papaveraceae. The record is from RefSeq and is a predicted model, not a curated record.
UUGUUCUCUUUCUCUUCUCUUCUUCUCUUCUUCUUUAUUCUUCCUCCAGUCGUUUCUAAAUCGAGAAUUUGAGAGUGAUGAGUAAAAAUUGAUUGAUGAGAAUCAGGUUAUGAGUUGUAUAGAUGAUGGAGGAGUCGAGGUUGUUGUUGAUGAAGAAGAAAAGAUGAAUCAGAGUUAGGGUUUUCUGAAGGAUGAAGUUUGAUAGAGGUUUCAUGGAAUUGAUUAGUGUAUUGAGUUCCUGAUGGAUGGGGAUUGAAUGGGUUGACGUUUAAUUAUAGUUUUGAAGUUUAUUCAUUGAUGAAUCGAAGAAUUAGGGUUUCUCAUGACAACCUCAGAGAGGAAGGAAUUAAAAGUUCGAUUUGGUGAUGGUUAAGAUGGAAGUAAGUAUGGGUUUCAUGAUUAUAACACGGAGAAGAUAGUUUCGUUGAUUUGAGGAAUUUAGGAAUCAGAGGUUCUGGUAAAUUGAAUUAGGGUUCAAAGGAUUUCAAGAGUUGUAUGGAGAAUUAGAUUGUGGUGUUGUUGCUGAGAUAAGAAUUAGGAAUCGAGAAGAUGUAUAAAUGGAAGAACAAAGAUUUUAUUGAAGAAUUGGAGUUAGCUGUGGUUGUAGUUGAAGCUCAGGAGAUGGAGUAAAGUUGCUGUUGUUGCUGUUGAUUGAACUGAACCGGUGGGUUUGUUGUUGUCUUAAGAUGGCCUGUUGAAUCAAGUCAAGCAAGAAAGGGGAGUUUCUCAAUUUGUUGGAAUGAAACCAUUCUGAGUUGAAGGUGUUGCUUGCGCUGAGAUGGAAUUGCAGGUGAUGUUGGUUUGUAGGUUAUAGGGUUGUGUAUAAAAAUGGAUAAGUUGUAUACGAGUUGCAGAUAAUGAAUUUGGUGAAGUAUGAAUGAGAUGAAAUGGUGUUUGAAUCUGUAUGAAUUGAUGAGGGUGUCGAUUUAGUGAAUUUGAUGGUAAGAAGAAUGUUGUCAUGUUGGUGGUUGUGGAUAUGAGAUGUAUGAGCUGUUACAGGUGAAGUGGGAUAGAGUUGCAGUUGUUAACGGUGGUUUUUAGUUUAGGGUUAAGAUCGUAAAACCUUGCAUCUGACGUCACUCUGCAAGGAAACGGUGCCGUGAGUGCUAACCUCUUCACCGACAUAUUUAUUGAGCCAUUGAAUAUAUUUACAUGAAAUUUAUCCAGACUGGCGAAUAUAGCAACCAUCCCAGACACUCUGUAAAUUUCGGCACCUCGCCAAUGCAAGACUCACUGAGUACUUUCCUGUGUUGUGUUCCCCGGUAAAACCCUUAAUAUCGAUAUGGCAUGACGGAUUUAUGUUCA